This 2189-nucleotide long non-coding RNA is filed under the name Drosophila guanche. The record is from RNAcentral. Lineage: Eukaryota; Metazoa; Arthropoda; Insecta; Diptera; Drosophilidae.
UUGUUUUUGGGGAACAGUCUUCUAAUUUUAUCAAGAAAAUAUUGAACCUCCCCCACUGUACGCAUUCCAGCGAGAGCCCACAUGCAAGAUCAGAAGCUGUUAUCUUGAAAAGCUCUCUCUUUCGAAAUUGCAUGUGCGAGCACCGUUCACAUGUGAGCUUUUCUCUCUUCAAACAUAGCUUACGGCUAGCCCUUCGAGAACCUUCUUAGCUCUCUCAUACACAGCUUUUGGAGGGGUAAAAUAGUUAGGCUAAGUGCAUGCUGCACAGAACAAAAAUUGCAUUCAAGGUUUGAAGACUUAAUUGAUGUGCGUGUAGAAAAUAUACAAAAACAAAAAAAAACGUGGUGAAAAGUUUGCAAAACCAUAAAAGGGAACAUAACCCAAAUAAAAAAACAAUAUAAAAGUGUUGUGGCUGCAAGACGAAACAAAAAAACCAACCCCUGGAUAAGGUACGCCAAGAGAAAAAAAAUGAAAAAGUGACCUUAUUACAUAAUUCCAUGUAUGAACUGUACAUAGGUUUUGAUCCACGUGUGGCAGGAAAUUGCUGACCUGGCCUGACCCUCGGUCUCGGAGGGGGGGUCCGCUCCAGUACCACGAUCAUCCGUCCCUCUUUUUGGUGCCACCGGACCUUGCCUGCAGGCGAAAAAAACGGAUGGACCUGGCGAUCGGGACCGAGUUGUUUAUAUACAUAUAUCUCACGCGCAACUAUAAAACCAUCUUUAUAUAUUAUAUCACCGCGCCUUGUGUAAAGAAUUGUUGGUGCUUGCAUAUGUAGGGUGUGGAAAAAUUAGCUCAGCGGUCAUUGCCCUUGCGGCUGACCAUACACCUAUGCGCACUUAAAUAGACCCACCUGACCGUAUGUCACCUAUUCUCUCCUUCUCUCAGGUUAUUAAAAUUGUUCGAUGCCGACAUUCUAAAAGCCACUUAAGGGAAGAAAAGUAAAUCACAAAAUCUAGAAAAGAAAAUGUAAUGAAAAAUUAUGGAUAGAAAAAAAAAUAGAAAAGAAAAUUGUUCAAUAAUAUUAAAUAUUCCUAGACAUUAACUUAGAAUNUCCAUGUAUGUACUGUACAUAGGUUAUGAUCCACGUGUGGCAGGAAAUUGCUGACCUGGCCUGACCCUCGGUCUCGGAGGGGGGGUCCGCUCCAGUACCACGAUCAUCCGUCCCUCUUUUUGGUGCCACCGGACCUUGCCUGCAGGCGAAAAAAAACGGAUGGACCUGGCGAUCGGGACCGAGUUGUUUAUAUACAUAUAUCUCACGCGCAACUAUAAAACCAUCUUUAUAUAUUAUAUCACCGCGCCUUGUGUAAAGAAUUGUUGGUGCUUGCAUAUGUAGGGUGUGGAAAAAUUAGCUCAGCGGUCAUUGCCCUUGCGGCUGACCAUACACCUAUGCGCACUUAAAUAGACCCACCUGACCGUAUGUCACCUAUUCUCUCCUUCUCUCAGGUUAUUAAAAUUGUUCGAUGCCGACAUUCUAAAAGCCACUUAAGGGAAGAAAAGUGAAUCACAAAAAUCUAGAAAAGAAAACUUAAUGAAAAAUUAUGGAUAGAAGAAAAAAAAAUAGAAAAGAAAAUUGUUCAAUAAUAUUAAAUAUUCCUAGACAUUAACUUAGAAUAGAAGAAGAAAAACAUGAAAUUUAUGCGUAGUUAAUAAUAGAUUCUAAAGGGUGCAUCAUCGGUCUCAUUGUGUCCAUGGAAGGGUAUUGGUAAAAUACCUCUUCAUAACGCUUCUUGUUAUUUUGCAUAUUUCUACAUUUCUUUAACAGUUAGAACGUGAAAUUGGGCCCAACGACACCAACAGCUGUUUAAAAGUCUGUAAGUAGACACACAUAUACACACAUACACUCCGGGUCAGGAGAAUAGCGUCUACACAGUGAGACAUGCAUGCUUAACCAUAUAUAAAAUGAAUUAUUAUUAACUCUAAUCACUACAAUUAUGCCAUUUAAUUCAUUUAAUUAAUUAAUUCUUACUUUAUAUUUUGAUUAUAUUAUUUUUAUUCAUAUUUGAUCAUUCUCUUGAAUUCCUAUGUAUUAAAUUAGUCCCACAUAUAUAAUACACAUGCAGUAAAAAUAGUUUUAAGGGUUAGGGUAGAAAUAAUGGGGGUUACAAGCAACCUGAAGUCAUACAAGUCAAAGUAAAAUUAUAACGAUUUAACAUGAAUUUCUAAUCUGAUUUUUGGGAGGGGUUCCUAAG